This 484-nucleotide ribosomal RNA is filed under the name uncultured bacterium. RNAcentral's name for it is "partial 16S ribosomal RNA". It matches the Rfam family "Bacterial small subunit ribosomal RNA", at positions 28 to 523 of the family's 1533-position model. The record is from RNAcentral.
GACGAACGCUGGCGGCGUGCUUAACACAUGCAAGUCGAACGAUGAAGCCGGAGCUUGCUCUGGUGAAUUAGUGGCGAACGGGUGAGUAACACGUGAGUAACCUGCCCUUGACUCUGGGAUAACUGCGGGAAACUGUAGCUAAUACCGGAUACGACCCUCGGAGGCAUCUCCUGGGGGUGGAAAGAAUUUCGGUCAAGGAUGGACUCGCGGCCUAUCAGCUAGUUGGUGAGGUAAAGGCUCACCAAGGCGACGACGGGUAGCCGGCCUGAGAGGGGGACCGGCCACACUGGGACUGAGACACGGCCCAGACUCCUACGGGAGGCAGCAGUGGGGAAUAUUGCACAAUGGGCGCAAGCCUGAUGCAGCAACGCCGCGUGAGGGAUGACGGCCUUCGGGUUGUAAACCUCUUUUAGCAGGGAAGAAGCGAAAGUGACGGUACCUGCAGAAAAAGCACCGGCUAACUACGUGCCAGCAGUCGCCGUAA